This 397-nucleotide ribosomal RNA is filed under the name uncultured bacterium. RNAcentral's name for it is "partial 16S ribosomal RNA". It matches the Rfam family "Bacterial small subunit ribosomal RNA", at positions 523 to 918 of the family's 1533-position model. The record is from RNAcentral.
AUACGUAGGGGGCGAGCGUUGUCCGGAAUGAUUGGGCGUAAAGGGCGCGUAGGCGGCGCGGUAAGUCUGGAGUGAAAGUCCUGCUUUCAAGGUGGGAAUUGCUUUGGAUACUGGGGGGCUUGAGUGCAGGAGAGGUUAUCGGAAUUCCCGGUGUAGCGGUGCAAUGCGUAGAGACCGGGAGGAACACCAGUGGCGAAGGCGGGUAACUGGACUGCAACUGACGCUGAGGCGCAAAAGUGUGGGGAGCAAACAGGAUUAGAUACCCUGGUAGUCCACACUGUAAACGAUGAAUGCUAGGUGUAAGAGGUAUCGACCCCUUUUGUGCCGGAGUCAACACAAUAAGCAUUCCGCCUGGGGAGUACGGCCGCAAGGUUGAAACUCAAAGGAAUUGACGGGG